RNAcentral lists this transfer RNA (72 nucleotides) under Marmota monax (woodchuck). RNAcentral's name for it is "tRNA.Ala". The stretch from base 6 to 64 matches the Rfam family "tRNA", at positions 7 to 64 of the family's 71-position model. Rfam says of the family: Transfer RNA (tRNA) molecules are approximately 80 nucleotides in length. The record is from RNAcentral. Lineage: Eukaryota; Metazoa; Chordata; Mammalia; Rodentia; Sciuridae.
GGGAGGUAGCUCAGUGGUAGAGUGUCUGUCUGGCAUGCACAAGGCCUUGGGUUCAAUCCUCAGCAACACACA